GCUGCCAAGACGGCACACGAGUAUGCCUACGGACA
This 35-nucleotide transfer RNA is filed under the name Lophonetta specularioides (crested duck). RNAcentral's name for it is "partial tRNA-Phe". The record is from RNAcentral. Lineage: Eukaryota; Metazoa; Chordata; Aves; Anseriformes; Anatidae.